Molecule: long non-coding RNA, 563 nt
Organism: Rhipicephalus sanguineus (brown dog tick)
Lineage: Eukaryota; Metazoa; Arthropoda; Arachnida; Ixodida; Ixodidae
Exons: 5
Source: RefSeq, a predicted model, not a curated record
CAUUGAAAACCGGCGGUCAUCCAGCAGUGUACGCUGCCAGCGUAUUUUUUAUUGCCAGAGGUAGCAAACAGCAGUGCUACAACAAACAGUGGAGUGCUGACCAUGCAGUCCAGAAGGUGGCUGAGGCAAGUAUGCUAUAGGAGGUGCUUAUUCAGGCAGAAGCAUCUGUAGCCAACGUAAAGGAAGCAUCUUCAAAAAGCAGUGCUACAAGGAUGUGAGCAGCAGUUUCCCUUCAACGAACGGGUCAAAUUCAUGGAAGCCACGUGCCUGCUGCUUCUGGCCUACACAAACAUGCAGCCACCAUAAUAAAGUUCUUGCAAAGACAUUCUACACGAACUUGCCCAAAGGCGGAAGGAAAACACGCACAGAUGGACGCACAGAAAUCAUGGGGCUGCCGAAGAAGCUGUGAAUGAGCAUUAACCUGUGAACGUACAAAAAGGAGCGAAGUGGAGAUGUCCAUGGGCCGUGCACACAGUUUCAUAAGCAAGCUUGCAACACUUUUGACAAAUAUGUUCCUGAAUACAUCUGCCAAAGUGGCAUUUAAAGAAGCAUGUAGUAGUGUA